UUCUUAUUGGUUAAGGGAUAGGGAUAGGAAUAGGCCCUUAUCCCCCCCUUUAUACCCAAACACUAAUUUUUUACCCGAGAAUAGUAGUUCUCGGUUAUCCCCACCAACACCUCCAUUUUCUAUAUAAAACUAUCUAAAAUUGUUCUUAUCCCCGGAAACAACCCAAUUUUCAUCCAAACGCUAUUUUUCUUAUCCCCAUAUUUGUACCUAUUCCUGUAAUAGCUAGUUCUUGUUUAUACCCGAAUCAAACGGUACCAAAAAGUACAUAUAAACUUAUACAUAUAUAACUUGUGGUAGCAUAAAAUAGUAGAUUUAUUUGAUCAUUUUCUAUUAAUAUUAAUUAGAAAGUAUUAUAUAAAAUAGCAAAAAUAGGAAAUUAAUUGAAUUUGGGUAAAAUGGUAGGUCUUUUGUUGUUGGGUAUUUCUU
RNAcentral lists this long non-coding RNA (426 nucleotides) under Ananas comosus (pineapple). RNAcentral describes it as "long non-coding RNA (ACOM_LNC024683)". Lineage: Eukaryota; Viridiplantae; Streptophyta; Magnoliopsida; Poales; Bromeliaceae. The record is from RNAcentral.